This 75-nucleotide transfer RNA is filed under the name Firmicutes bacterium ADurb.Bin146. RNAcentral describes it as "tRNA-Gly". It matches the Rfam family "tRNA". From Rfam's summary of the family: Transfer RNA (tRNA) molecules are approximately 80 nucleotides in length. The record is from RNAcentral. RNAcentral also lists the same sequence under 8 other names. Lineage: Bacteria; Bacillati; Bacillota.
GCGGGUUUAACUCAGUGGUAGAGUGUCACCUUGCCAAGGUGAAAGUCGCGAGUCCGAAUCUCGUAACCCGCUCCA